RNAcentral lists this transfer RNA (74 nucleotides) under Neurospora crassa. Its description in RNAcentral is "tdbR00000489". It matches the Rfam family "tRNA". From Rfam's summary of the family: Transfer RNA (tRNA) molecules are approximately 80 nucleotides in length. Their secondary structure includes four short double-helical elements and three loops (D, anti-codon, and T loops). Further hydrogen bonds mediate the characteristic L-shaped molecular structure. tRNAs have two regions of fundamental functional importance: the anti-codon, which is responsible for specific mRNA codon recognition, and the 3' end, to which the tRNAs corresponding amino acid is attached (by aminoacyl-tRNA synthetases). tRNAs cope with the degeneracy of the genetic code in two manners: having more than one tRNA (with a specific anti-codon) for a particular amino acid; and 'wobble' base-pairing, i.e. permitting non-standard base-pairing at the 3rd anti-codon position. Lineage: Eukaryota; Fungi; Ascomycota; Sordariomycetes; Sordariales; Sordariaceae. The record is from RNAcentral.
AAGAGUAUAGUUUAAUGGUAAAACAGAAAGCUUCAACCUUUAAAUUCUUAGUUCGAGUCUAAGUACUCUUGCCA